GAUGAACGCUGGCGGCGUGCCUAAUACAUGCAAGUCGAGCGAACAGAUGAGGAGCUUGCUCCUCUGACGUUAGCGGCGGACGGGUGAGUAACACGUGGAUAACCUACCUAUAAGACUGGGUUAACUUCGGGAAACCGGAGCUAAUACCGGAUAAUAUAUUGAACCGCGUGGUUCAAUAGUGAAAGACGGUUUUGCUGUCACUUAUAGAUGGAUCCGCGCCGCAUUAGCUAGUUGGUAAGGUAACGGCUUACCAAGGCAACGAUGCGUAGCCGACCUGAGAGGGUGAUCGGCCACACUGGAACUGAGACACGGUCCAGACUCCUACGGGAGGCAGCAGUAGGGAAUCUUCCGCAAUGGGCGAAAGCCUGACGGAGCAACGCCGCGUGAGUGAUGAAGGUCUUCGGAUCGUAAAACUCUGUUAUUAGGGAAGAACAAAUGUGUAAGUAACUAUGCACGUCUUGACGGUACCUAAUCAGAAAGCCACGGCUAACUACGUG
Molecule: ribosomal RNA, 497 nt
Filed under: uncultured bacterium
Lineage: Bacteria
Description: partial 16S ribosomal RNA
Rfam family: Bacterial small subunit ribosomal RNA
Source: RNAcentral